CUAUUACUUUUUUUAAUUGUAAUUUACUUUAUAAUAAUUAAAUUAAUAGGAUAAUAUGAUUUAUAUGACGAUAUAGAAGGUGUUAAACAUUAAAAUUACUUUAAUUUCUCAGUCGAGUAGGCACGUUGACGACUUAUUCAUCGAUUUACGAGAUGGUCACAACCUUAUUUCAUUACUGGAAGUUCUAUCCGGAGAAUUAUUGCCGAGAGAGAGGGGUCGCAUGCGAUUCCACAUGCUACAAAAUGUUCAAACCGCCUUAGACUUCUUGAAAGGAAGAAAG
This is a long non-coding RNA of Centruroides sculpturatus (bark scorpion), 280 nucleotides long. RefSeq lists it as uncharacterized. The transcript is spliced from 2 exons. Lineage: Eukaryota; Metazoa; Arthropoda; Arachnida; Scorpiones; Buthidae. The record is from RefSeq and is a predicted model, not a curated record.